Molecule: ribosomal RNA, 451 nt
Filed under: uncultured bacterium
Lineage: Bacteria
Description: partial 16S ribosomal RNA
Rfam family: Bacterial small subunit ribosomal RNA
Source: RNAcentral
AGCGAACGCUGGCGGCAUGCCUAACACAUGCAAGUCGCACGGGGGGGCCUCGGCCUCCCAGUGACGGACGGGUGAGGCACGGGAAGGGACCCGUUGCUGGGGGGUGGAUAACCGCGGGAAAUUGCGGUUAAUAACGCAUGACGCCGACGCGUGACUGCCGGGGCAAGAGGGGACCGCCGCCCGGCGAUGGGCCUGCGUCGGAUUAGCUGGUCGGCGGGGUAGCGGCCCACCAAGACGGCGAUCGGUAGCUGGUCUGAGAGGGUGAUCAGCCACACCGGGACUGAGACACGGCCCGGACUCCUACGGGAGGCAGCAGUGGGGAAUAUUGGACAAUGGGCGCAAGCCUGAUCCAGCAAUGCCGCGUGGGUGAAGAAGGUCUUCGGAUUGUAAAGCCCUUUCGGCAGGGACGAUAAUGACGGUACCUGGAGAAGAAGCCCCGGCUAACUUCGUG